Ipomoea nil (Japanese morning glory) is the source of this 832-nucleotide long non-coding RNA. RefSeq lists it as uncharacterized. Lineage: Eukaryota; Viridiplantae; Streptophyta; Magnoliopsida; Solanales; Convolvulaceae. The record is from RefSeq and is a predicted model, not a curated record. The transcript has 4 exons.
UCUUCCUCUCAUCUCUCAUCUCUCAUCUCUCAUCUCUCAUCUCUCAUCUCAUAUCAUUGUUAUCAAUCUCACUCUACCCGUACCCAUUUGGAAAUCACUUCAUUCUCUACCACACCACAAAUUUUAUUGAAUUUCCGUAAGAACAACAUCGUGGAUGAACUGUUCGUUUGUUGGUUCCGUAAGGUGCGCAUUGAAAUAGCAGAGAAGAACACAUACUCUGCACAUCGCCAUAGCAGCUUAAUGAUCCGAGCAACAAACUUCGGCAACCAUGGCGAUACAGAGAGCUUUCAUAAGAAACAAUCUAACUACUACGGCAAAAAAGAAAAAAUAAAAGAAAAAGAUAAGAAGGAAUACAACUCAAUAUCUACUCUAGAAACAUUCCUAGAUGCACAUGCAGACGGUUGACGAAGUAUAAAAUCUUCGUCGUCCAUGGUUGAUACAGACAGUGUUCUUAAGAUCUGGCCAAGAAGACAUAGAAAGAGUCAACAUUGAGCUGGAUUGAGCAGUUGACUGAAGAAGCUGAGCCAGAUUAGAUGCUUACCUCCCGAUCAUGGAACACGCAUUCUCGACAUUUGACAACCUCACUGCCGCUACAUUCUCUAACUCCAUAUGCACGAAUACAUCUUACCUUCAAUGCACAAGUGGUUUUCAUGGGUGUUAUCUGAUUGACCAAAAUGUAGAGAGGAGGCAUACUUGAACUGGUAUUUUUGACUGAUCUAACAAAGUGUUUGUAGUGAUGUGGAAUUACCGGGAUGUAUAUAAAAUGAUAUUAGACUCCUUUUAUAAACCAUGAAUUAGAGUUCUAUUAUAAAUGUUUAUUUGGGAUUCUUUA